CACUGAUGCACUAUACUCGGUGACUAUGCCCAGUUUGGGCUGGCCACGGAAGCAAAACAGAUCAAACUUCCUUAGCCUGGAAUGGAGGCCGCCUGGGGAUAGGAGGUGCUACAGGCA
This 117-nucleotide ribosomal RNA is filed under the name Mus caroli (Ryukyu mouse). Its description in RNAcentral is "rRNA (MGP_CAROLIEiJ_G0034127.1)". The record is from RNAcentral. Lineage: Eukaryota; Metazoa; Chordata; Mammalia; Rodentia; Muridae.